UGACCUCAAAUCAGGUAGGACUACCCGCUGAACUUAAGCAUAUCAAUAAGCGGAGGAAAAGAAACUAACAAGGAUUCCCCUAGUAACUGCGAGUGAAGCGGGAAAAGCUCAAAUUUAAAAUCUGUCAGUCUUUGGCUGUCCGAGUUGUAAUCUAGAGAAGUGUUAUCUGCGUUGGACCGUGUACAAGUCUCCUGGGAUGGAGCGUCAUAGAGGGUGAGAAUCCCGUCUUUGACACGGACUACCAAGGCUUUGUGAUGCGCUCUCAAAGAGUCGAGUUGUUUGGGAAUGCAGCUCAAAAUGGGUGGUAAAUUCCAUCUAAAGCUAAAUAUUGGCGAGAGACCGAUAGCGAACAAGUACCGUGAGGGAAAGAUGAAAAGAACUUUGGAAAGAGAGUUAAACAGUACGUGAAAUUGCUGAAAGGGAAACGCUUGAAGUCAGUCGCGUUGUCCAGGGAUCAACCUUGCUUUUGCUUGGUGUACUUUCUGGUUAACGGGUCAACAUCAAUUUUGAUCAUUGGAAAAAAGUUAAGGGAAUGUGGCAUCUUAGGAUGUGUUAUAGCCUUUGAUUGUAUACAAUGGUUGGUAUUGAAAAAC
RNAcentral lists this ribosomal RNA (593 nucleotides) under Cortinarius cf. azureus PK3036. RNAcentral describes it as "eukaryotic LSU rRNA". It matches the Rfam family "Eukaryotic large subunit ribosomal RNA", at positions 1 to 594 of the family's 3401-position model. The record is from RNAcentral. Lineage: Eukaryota; Fungi; Basidiomycota; Agaricomycetes; Agaricales; Cortinariaceae.